This 69-nucleotide transfer RNA is filed under the name Limnonectes bannaensis (large-headed frog). RNAcentral's name for it is "tRNA-Pro". It matches the Rfam family "tRNA". Rfam says of the family: Transfer RNA (tRNA) molecules are approximately 80 nucleotides in length. Their secondary structure includes four short double-helical elements and three loops (D, anti-codon, and T loops). The record is from RNAcentral. Lineage: Eukaryota; Metazoa; Chordata; Amphibia; Anura; Dicroglossidae.
CAGGACAUAAUUUAAAAAGAAUAUUGGCUUUGGGGGCCAUAAGUAGAGGUUUGACUCCUUUUGUCCUGA